This 62-nucleotide transfer RNA is filed under the name Dinocampus coccinellae. RNAcentral's name for it is "tRNA-Val". The record is from RNAcentral. Lineage: Eukaryota; Metazoa; Arthropoda; Insecta; Hymenoptera; Braconidae.
AAAAUUUUAGUUUAAGUAAAAUUUAAUAUUUACAAUAUUAAGAUAUUUUAAAAUAAAUUUUU